This is a non-coding RNA of Mus musculus (house mouse), 347 nucleotides long. Lineage: Eukaryota; Metazoa; Chordata; Mammalia; Rodentia; Muridae. The record is from the annotation of a RefSeq genome assembly.
AUGAAGUCACAGACCCAGGUCUUCGUAUUUCUACUGCUCUGUGUGUCUGGUGCUCAUGGGAGUAUUGUGAUGACCCAGACUCCCAAAUUCCUGCUUGUAUCAGCAGGAGACAGGGUUACCAUAACCUGCAAGGCCAGUCAGAGUGUGAGUAAUGAUGUAGCUUGGUACCAACAGAAGCCAGGGCAGUCUCCUAAACUGCUGAUAUACUAUGCAUCCAAUCGCUACACUGGAGUCCCUGAUCGCUUCACUGGCAGUGGAUAUGGGACGGAUUUCACUUUCACCAUCAGCACUGUGCAGGCUGAAGACCUGGCAGUUUAUUUCUGUCAGCAGGAUUAUAGCUCUCCUCC